GACGAACGCUGGCGGCGUGCUUAACACAUGCAAGUCGAACGGAAAGGCCCUGCUUUUGCGGGGUGCUCGAGUGGCGAACGGGUGAGUAACACGUGAGUAACCCGCCCCUGACUUUGGGAUAACUUUAGGAAACUGGGGCUAAUACCGGAUAGGAGCUCCUGCUGCAUGGUGGGGGUUGGAAAGUUUCGGCGGUUGGGGCUGGACUCGCGGCUUAUCAGCUUGUUGGUGGGGUAGUGGCUUACCAAGGCUUUGACGGGUAGCCGGCCUGAGAGGGUGACCGGCCACAUUGGGCCUGAGAUACGGCCCAGACUCCUACGGGACGCAGCAGUGGAGAAUAUUGCACAGUGGGCGGAAGCCUGAUGCAGCAGCGCCGCGUGCGGGAUGACGUCCUUCGGGUUGUAAACCGCUUUCGCCUGUGACGAAGCGUGAGUGACGGUAAUGAGUAAAGAAGCACCGGCUAACUACGUG
This 468-nucleotide ribosomal RNA is filed under the name uncultured bacterium. RNAcentral's name for it is "partial 16S ribosomal RNA". It matches the Rfam family "Bacterial small subunit ribosomal RNA", at positions 28 to 507 of the family's 1533-position model. The record is from RNAcentral.